RNAcentral lists this transfer RNA (68 nucleotides) under Acanthobothrium sp. MZUSP 8033. Its description in RNAcentral is "tRNA-Glu". Lineage: Eukaryota; Metazoa; Platyhelminthes; Cestoda; Tetraphyllidea; Onchobothriidae. RNAcentral also lists the same sequence under 2 other names. The record is from RNAcentral.
UCUGUUUUAGUAUAUUUAUUAUGUUAGCUUUUCGUGUUAAUGAUAGUUUUUUAUAAAACUAAACAGAA